AACAAAAACCACAGCACUGAAUAUGUAAAUCUCGGUGGCUGAACCCCUCCUAGGAUAAUAAGCCCUGGCACAAUUGCUUCUAUCUUCUCUUUCCCUCAAGGAAGUCAAAAAAACACCUGCAGCCCUACUGUCCCCUUGGAAACAAGAUGAACAUCUACAUUUUCUAGAGUGAGACCAGAAUCUCUGUUCAUAUUUAUGUCCCAUGCAUUUGCACAUGGCCGGUCAAAGGAACUUUGCUUCUGCCAGCACAUCUAUCUUCAGAUAUGAGAGGGAACAGACACAACCUGGAAGCAGCAACGAAGCAGCUCUUUCUCAAAUAACCUCCUCUAUCUCCAUCCUUCCUGGCUAAUGGGGCAGCCUUGAUCCUUGGGAAUCCAGGACAGAUAUCCGCUGGUGACAAACUAGCUGGAAGAAUGACAACCAAUCAGGUUCUAAGCACCACUGGAUGUGAACCACAGAAUUCCCCCCUCUCCUUGUGGAAUAUCAGCUUAUGUCUGACAAAAAAUAUGAAAAUGAGAGAGUUACAAUCUUAAGGAGGAGUCAAGCUAAAGCAAAAAGAAUCACCUCCUCUGGAUUUCAGCGUGACUGCUGAGCUCAAAUAUAUACAAAAAGAGAAAGAACCACAAACUUGAAGAUGGAUAUCGGCUAAAGACUUUCCUGAGUCAGAUCUCACCUAAGAAAAUAAACAUAUGCUAUGUCAGAGAAGCCUCAGGGCUUCCACAUCUGCUCGAAAAGGGAGUUGAGCUUCAGCAGCUGACCCAGGGCUCUGUUCCCCUUUGGUGAGAAGGGUUUUUGUACAGCAAGACAAUGGAGAGCUCUCACUGUGGUGGACGUUCGGCCAAGGGACCAAGCUGGAAAUCAAACGAGCUGUGGCUGCACCAUCUGUCUUCAUCUUCCCGCCAUCUGAGGAUCAGGUGAAAUCUGGAACUGUCUCUGUUGUGUGCCUGCUGAAUAACUUCUAUCCCAGAGAGGCCAGCGUAAAGUGGAAGGUGGAUGGUGCCGUCCAAACGGGUAACUCCCAGGAGAGUGUCACAGAGCAGGACAGCAAGGACAACACCUACAGCCUGAGCAGCACCCUGACGCUGAGCAGCACAGACUACCAGAGUCACAAGGUCUAUGCCUGCGAAGUCACCCAUCAGGGCCUGAGCUCGCCCCUCACCAAGAGCUUCAACAGAGAAGAGUGUUAGAGGGAGAAGUGCCCCGGGCCCCCCACUUGCUCCUUAGCCCCAGCCUCACCCCCUCCCAUCCUUUGGCCUCUGGCCCUUUUCCCACAGGGGAGCUGCCCCUAUUUUGGUCCUCGAGCUCAUCUUUCACCUCAUCCUCCUCCUCCUCCUCGGCUUUAAUUAUGCUAAUAUUGGAGGAGAAUUAAUAAAUAAAGUGAAUCUUUGCACCUGUG
Non-coding RNA from Chlorocebus sabaeus (green monkey), 1396 nucleotides. The record is from RefSeq and is a predicted model, not a curated record. Lineage: Eukaryota; Metazoa; Chordata; Mammalia; Primates; Cercopithecidae.